RNAcentral lists this ribosomal RNA (417 nucleotides) under uncultured bacterium. Its description in RNAcentral is "bacterial SSU rRNA". It matches the Rfam family "Bacterial small subunit ribosomal RNA", at positions 335 to 769 of the family's 1533-position model. The record is from RNAcentral.
ACUCCUACGGGAGGCAGCAGUGGGGAAUCUUGGACAAUGGGCGCAAGCCUGAUCCAGCCAUGCCGCGUGAGUGAUGAAGGCCUUAGGGUCGUAAAGCUCUUUCGCCAGGGAUGAUAAUGACAGUACCUGGUAAAGAAACCCCGGCUAACUCCGUGCCAGCAGCCGCGGUAAUACGGAGGGGUUAGCGUUGUUCGGAAUUACUGGGGCGUAAAGCGCGCGUAGGCGGACCAGAAAGUUGGGGGUGAAAUCCCGGGGGCUCAACCCCGGAACUGCCUCCAAAACUCCUGGUCUAGAGUUCGAGAGAGGUGAGUGGAAUUCCGAGUGUAGAGGUGAAAUUCGUAGAUAUUCGGAGGAACACCAGUGGCGAAGGCGGCUCACUGGCUCGAUACUGACGCUGAGGUGCGAAAGUGUGGGAGC